Molecule: ribosomal RNA, 389 nt
Filed under: Planctomycetaceae bacterium
Lineage: Bacteria; Pseudomonadati; Planctomycetota; Planctomycetia; Planctomycetales; Planctomycetaceae
Description: partial 23S ribosomal RNA
Rfam family: Bacterial large subunit ribosomal RNA
Source: RNAcentral
GCUCAUCACAUCCUGGGGGUGGAGGAGCUCCCAAGGGUUUGGCUGUUCGCCAAUUAAAGUGGUACGUGAGCUGGGUUCAGACCGUCGUGAGACAGGUCGGUCCCUAUCUGCUGUGGGCGUUCGAAACUUGAGGAGGUUCAACUUUAGUACGAAAGGAUUUAGUUGGACGUAGCUCUGGUGUUCCUGUUGUCACGCUAGUGGCACGGCAGGGUAGCUAACUACGGAAUGGAUAAACGCUGAAAGCAUAUAAGCGUGAAGUCGGCUCCAAGAUUAGGUUUCGUGUACUUUGUAUUGAAGUCCCCUGGAAGACGACCAGGUUGAUAGGGCGGAUGUGUAAGUCCAGUAAUGGAUUAAGCUAACCGCUACUAACGGACGAACGCUUUUCCGUA